Molecule: ribosomal RNA, 256 nt
Filed under: uncultured bacterium
Lineage: Bacteria
Description: partial 16S ribosomal RNA
Rfam family: Bacterial small subunit ribosomal RNA
Source: RNAcentral
UACAGAGGUCUCGAGCGUUGUUCGGAUUCAUUGGGCGUAAAGGGUGCGUAGAUGGCCUGAUAAGUUAGCAGUGGGAAAUCGAGGCUCAACCUCGUGGAAGCUGGUAAUACUGUCAGGCUCGAGUGCAGGAGAGGUUAACGGAACUCCAUGUGGAGCGGUAAAAUGUGUAGAUAUAUGGAAGAACACCAAUAACGGCGAAGGCAGUUAACUAUUCUGUUACUGACAUUGAGGCACGAAAGCGUGGGGAGCAAAACGG